RNAcentral lists this ribosomal RNA (231 nucleotides) under uncultured bacterium. RNAcentral describes it as "partial 16S ribosomal RNA". It matches the Rfam family "Bacterial small subunit ribosomal RNA", at positions 107 to 339 of the family's 1533-position model. The record is from RNAcentral.
UGCGUAACGCGUGGGAAUCUACCUGGUAAUGGGGGAUAGCCCGGAGAAAUCCGGAUUAAUACCGCAUACGCCCUACGGGGGAAAGGGGGCCUCUUCUUGAAAGCUCUCGUUAUCAGAUGAGCCUGCGUCGGAUUAGCUAGUUGGUGAGGUAAGGGCUCACCAAGGCGACGAUCCGUAGCUGGUCUGAGAGGAUGAUCAGCCACACUGGGACUGAGACACGGCCCAGACUCC